AUAAAAGACGUAAUGUACUACGAAAAGUUAUGAGUUAAUCAAUUAAAUUCAUAAAUUUCUUAAUAAGGUAAACUCCUAAAGUUGUUCUACAAAGGCCUAUUAUAUUAGCGAAAUGACACAUCUAAGUAGCUAGAAUAAAAAAUCAACCGAGAGUUCAUAAUUAGGUGGCGAGCCAACAUGAAUUAGA
This 187-nucleotide ribosomal RNA is filed under the name Hemiselmis andersenii. RNAcentral describes it as "partial Bacterial large subunit ribosomal RNA". It matches the Rfam family "Bacterial large subunit ribosomal RNA", at positions 49 to 268 of the family's 2925-position model. Lineage: Eukaryota; Cryptophyceae; Cryptomonadales; Hemiselmidaceae. The record is from RNAcentral.